RNAcentral lists this ribosomal RNA (253 nucleotides) under uncultured bacterium. RNAcentral describes it as "partial 16S ribosomal RNA". It matches the Rfam family "Bacterial small subunit ribosomal RNA", at positions 524 to 776 of the family's 1533-position model. The record is from RNAcentral.
UACGUAGGGUGCGAGCGUUAAUCGGAAUUACUGGGCGUAAAGCGUGCGCAGGCGGUUUUGUAAGCCAGGUGUGAAAUCCCCGGGCUCAACCUGGGAAUGGCAUUUGGGACUGCAAGGCUGGAGUGUGGCAGAGGAGACUGGAAUUCCUGGUGUAGCAGUGAAAUGCGUAGAUAUCGGGAGGAACACCGGUGGCGAAGGCGGCCUUCUGGUCGGAUACUGACGCUAAAACGCGAAAGCGUGGGGAGCAAACAGG